RNAcentral lists this ribosomal RNA (250 nucleotides) under uncultured bacterium. Its description in RNAcentral is "partial 16S ribosomal RNA". It matches the Rfam family "Bacterial small subunit ribosomal RNA", at positions 524 to 773 of the family's 1533-position model. The record is from RNAcentral.
GACGGAGGGAGCAAGCGUUGUCCGGAUUUACUGGGCGUAAAGCGCGCGUAGGCGGCCUAUUAAGUCGGCCGUGAAAUUGCGGGGCUCAACUCCGCACCUGCAGUCGAUACUGAUAGGCUCGAGUCCGGGAGAGGGAAGCGGAAUUCCUGGUGUAGCGGUGGAAUGCGUAGAUAUCAGGAAGAACACCGGUGGCGAAGGCGGCUUCCUGGACCGGUACUGACGCUGAGGCGCGAAAGCUAGGGGAGCGAAC